AUACUUCUCUGGCAGGGGAGAUGUAUCAUCACCAAAUUACUUUUUCCAGGGCAAUGCUUGUCUAUUACACCCCAGAUGUGCUGGUCCUGUGAUUCCUCCAAAGGUGGGGAAUUCGACAGCAUCGCUUGUGGUAGUUGGGGGUGAGGGGUGGGGAGAAGAAAUAACAAUAUUCCCCCAG
This 178-nucleotide small nuclear RNA is filed under the name Sorex araneus (European shrew). RNAcentral describes it as "U1 spliceosomal RNA (ENSSARG00000015715.1)". It matches the Rfam family "U1 spliceosomal RNA". Rfam says of the family: U1 is a small nuclear RNA (snRNA) component of the spliceosome (involved in pre-mRNA splicing). The record is from RNAcentral. Lineage: Eukaryota; Metazoa; Chordata; Mammalia; Eulipotyphla; Soricidae.